This 72-nucleotide transfer RNA is filed under the name Candidatus Berkelbacteria bacterium. RNAcentral describes it as "tRNA-Thr". It matches the Rfam family "tRNA". From Rfam's summary of the family: Transfer RNA (tRNA) molecules are approximately 80 nucleotides in length. The record is from RNAcentral. Lineage: Bacteria; Candidatus Berkelbacteria.
GCCACCUUAGCUCAGCGGUAGAGCAGCUGUUUUGUAAACAGCAGGUCGUCGGUCCGAAUCCGACAGGUGGCU